RNAcentral lists this ribosomal RNA (966 nucleotides) under Triticum aestivum (bread wheat). RNAcentral's name for it is "partial small subunit ribosomal RNA". The record is from RNAcentral. Lineage: Eukaryota; Viridiplantae; Streptophyta; Magnoliopsida; Poales; Poaceae.
AUGACGAGACCUCGAACAUACGCCAUUGGACACAAGGUGAACUCGCUCCUCUCCGAACUUUCACUUUCUACAUGUGAGACAUGGCUACUACCUCCAACGUGUGUGCUAUGCAUGAUCAGGUACUUAGAGGAAAGCCACGGAGCCACCACAUCCAACGGACGAGCUAGCGAGGACGCCAAGUACAAGGACCAAGAGAAGAAGCUGCCCGAAGUCUUCAGCCACCGGACGACCGGGCAACGCCGGACGUCCGACACCUGGGCACUCAUCCAGCAAGAAGGGCCAGCCAACGAAAGCUACAGCAACCGGACGUCCGACAAGUACCGGACGUCCGACACACUCCAGCGACCGGACGUCCGACCGUCUCCGGAAAUCCGGCGCCACCUCAACCGAGCCAAAACGCCGGACGUCCGACAAGUACCGGACGACCGGACCCUCGCGAGCCACCGGACGCCCGAUACCUGUUGGACGACCAGCGCCUGUCUGUGCACAGAGAUCCAUGCCCGAGGCCCAUGUAUCCCCCACUUACCCCUUCGUGUCCCUAGACUAUAUAUACUCCUCCACCUCCUCCUCGUUAGGGUUAGCGUUGUGAUAGCUCAUUUGAGAGAUAGAGCUUCGCUCAUCCAUACGGAUCUACUCCUUGAGAGAGACCGCGGCCCCUCUUCGGAGAAGAUCCACCUUGAAUUCAAGACCCCCUCUUGGGCGGCCCCAUCAAGACCUCCUCACGGAGAAGAACCGGUUAUCCUAUGUAUCGUCCUUUGUUGGAUUCGGAUCUUGUAUCUCUUUGUGUUUCGAGGUUCUAGCACAUGUGUGAUCAUACUUGUUGGUUUGAGUGUUCUCUUGUGUUCCCCUCGUGAUUCUCCCCUCGUGUUACCCCUCGUGUUCUUCGCGGGAUCCGCUCCUUUCGUGAAAGAUCGGCCAUCUAGGGUUCCACCCUACAUCACCUCGUCAACACGAACUCGCCAGUGA